CCUACGGGUGGCAGCAGUGGGGAAUAUUGCGCAAUGGGCGAAAGCCUGACGCAGCGACGCCGCGUGAGGGAUGAAGGCUUUCGGGUUGUAAACUUCUUUUCUCAGGGACGAAGCAAGUGACGGUACCUGAGGAAUAAGCCACGGCUAACUACGUGCCAGCAGCCGCGGUAAUACGUAGGUGGCAAGCGUUAUCCGGAUUUACUGGGUGUAAAGGGCGUGUAGGCGGGGACGCAAGUCAGAUGUGAAAACCACGGGCUCAACCUGUGGCCUGCAUUUGAAACUGUGUUUCUUGAGUACUGGAGAGGCAGACGGAAUUCCUAGUGUAGCGGUGAAAUGCGUAGAUAUUAGGAGGAACACCAGUGGCGAAGGCGGUCCGCUGGACAGCAACUGACGCUGAGGCGCGAAAGCGUGGGGAGCAAACAGGAUUAGAUACCCUUGUAGUC
RNAcentral lists this ribosomal RNA (443 nucleotides) under uncultured bacterium. Its description in RNAcentral is "partial 16S ribosomal RNA". It matches the Rfam family "Bacterial small subunit ribosomal RNA", at positions 338 to 795 of the family's 1533-position model. The record is from RNAcentral.